AGAGUUUGAUCCUGGCUCAGGACGAACGCUGGCGGCGUGGAUUAGGCAUGCAAGUCGAACGGUAUGGUACCUUCGGGUGUCAGAGAGUGGCGAACGGGUGAGUAACACGUAGGUUAUCUACCCUCAAGAUCGGGACAACCCAGGGAAACUUGGGCUAAUACCGGAUGUGAGCGUCCUUUUUGGAUGUUUGAAAGGUGGCUUUUAGCUGUCGCUUGAGGAUGAGCCUGCGUCCUAUUAGUUAGUUGGUGAGGUAAUGGCUCCCCAAGGCUAUGAUAGGUAGGCGGCCUUAACGGGUGGUCGCCCACACUGGGAUUGAGAUACGGCCCAGACUCCUACGGGAGGCAGCAGUCGAGAAUAGUCUACAAUGGCCGAAAGGCUGAUAGUGCGACGCCGCGUGAACGAGGAAGCCCUUCGGGGUGUAAAGUUCUUUUAUAUGUGAGCAGUGCCGGUCAUAUUAAUAGUAUGACUGGAGCGAUAUUAGCAUAUGAAUAAGCAACGGCUAACUCCGUGCCAGCAGCCGCGGUAACACGGGGGUUGCGAGCGUUGUCCGGAAUUACUAGGCGUAAAGGGCAGGCAGGCGGACCUGCAAGUUUUCUGUUAAAGACGUCAGCUCAACUGGCGCACGGCAGGAGAUACUGCAGAUCUUGAAUGCGGUUGGGGAAGACAGAAUUCCUGGUGUAGCGGUGGAAUGCGCAGAGAUCAGGAGGAAUACCAAAGGCGAAGGCAGUCUUCCAAGCCGUUAUUGACGCUCAACUGCGAAGGUGUGGGUAUCAAACAGGAUUAGAUACCCUGGUAGUCCACACAGUAAACGA
This 812-nucleotide ribosomal RNA is filed under the name uncultured bacterium. RNAcentral describes it as "bacterial SSU rRNA". It matches the Rfam family "Bacterial small subunit ribosomal RNA", at positions 8 to 809 of the family's 1533-position model. The record is from RNAcentral.